This 1419-nucleotide ribosomal RNA is filed under the name Rubrobacteraceae bacterium. RNAcentral describes it as "partial 23S ribosomal RNA". It matches the Rfam family "Bacterial large subunit ribosomal RNA", at positions 1 to 1359 of the family's 2925-position model. Lineage: Bacteria; Bacillati; Actinomycetota; Rubrobacteria; Rubrobacterales; Rubrobacteraceae. The record is from RNAcentral.
AGGUCAAGCUACACAGGGCACGGGGUGGAUGCCUUGGCGCCAAGAGCCGAUGAAGGACGUGGCAGGCGACGAAACGUCUCGGGGAGUUGCAUGCAAGCUGUGAUCCGGGAGUGUCCGAAUGGGGAAACCCGGCCAGGGUAAUGCCUGGUCACUCGGGGCUGAAUAGAAUAGGCCCCGGUGAGGUAAGUCCGCGAACUGAAACAUCUCAGUAGCGGGAGGAAAAGAGAACAUUCCCUGAGUAGUGGCGAGCGAAACGGGAAUAGCCCAAACCUGCUCAGCGCGAUAGGUUGCAGCCGUUUCUGAGCGGGGGUUGUAGGAGCUGACACGGGACCCUGCAAGGUCUCAGUAGAGUCACAAAGUCGAUCGCGAGCCGAACCCGUCAGGAAAGGCGGGCCAGAGAGGGUGACAGCCCCGUACGCGAAGUGAUCGGCCUCUACGUCAGCCACCUGAGUACCACGUGGAAGGUCUCUCAUGUGGGAACCUGGGCGGACCACCGUCCAAGGCUAAAUACUCUUGGCGACCGAUAGUGAACUAGUACCGUGAGGGAAAGGUGAAAAGCACCCCGGGAGGGGAGUGAAAUAGUACCUGAAACCGCGUGCCCACAAGCAGUCAAAGGGUGUUGCCGACCUCCGGGUCGGUAGCCUGAUGGCGUGCCUUUUGAAGAAUGAGCCGACGAGUUACUUGUGUGUGGCGAGGUUAAGUCCGAGAAGGACGGAGCCGAAGCGAAAGCGAGUCUGAAUAGGGCGAUCAGUCGCACGCAGUAGACCCGAAACCGGGUGACCUACCCAUGGCCAGGUUGAAGCGAGAGUAAUGUCUCGUGGAGGACCGAACCCACUAGCGUUGAAAAGCUAGGGGAUGAGCUGUGGAUAGCGGUGAAAUGCCAAUCGAACCCGGAGAUAGCUGGUUCUCCCCGAAAUAGCUUUAGGGCUAGCCUCGAGCGUUCAAUCAUGGGGGUAGAGCACUGAAUGGGCUAGGGGGCUUCCCGCUUACCAAACCCAAUCAAACUCCGAAUCCCAUGAUUUCAGAGCUCGGGAGUCAGACUGCGAGGGCUAAGCUUCGUGGUCAAAAGGAAAACAGUCCAGACCGUCAGCUAAGGUCCCCAAAUCCAAGCUAAGUGGUAAAGGAUGUGGAGUCGCAUAGACAACCAGGAUGUUGGCUUAGAAGCAGCCACCAUUGAAAGAGUGCGUAACAGCUCACUGGUCAAGUGAUUCCGCGCCGAAGAUCCAACGGGGCUCAAGCUUGGUACCGAAGCUACGGGUCCUUCAGCCGGUUCGCCGGCUGUCGGACGGUAGGGGAGCGUCCCGUUCGCAGUGAAGGUCGAUCGUAAGGACGGCUGGAGCGUACGGGAGUGCGAAUGUCGGCAUGAGUAGCGCAAUGUGGGUGAGAAACCCACACGCCGUAAGCCUAAGGUUUCCUGAG